RNAcentral lists this ribosomal RNA (902 nucleotides) under uncultured bacterium. RNAcentral's name for it is "bacterial SSU rRNA". It matches the Rfam family "Bacterial small subunit ribosomal RNA", at positions 8 to 916 of the family's 1533-position model. The record is from RNAcentral.
AGAGUUUGAUCCUGGCUCAGGACGAACGCUGGCGGCGUGCUUAACACAUGCAAGUCGAACGAUGAACUACUAGCUUGCUGGUGGGGAUUAGUGGCGAACGGGUGAGUAACACGUGAGUAACCUGCCCUGGACUCUGGGAUAACCCCGAGAAAUCGGAGCUAAUACCGGAUAGGACCUUUCCUCGCAUGAGGUUUGGUGGAAAGUUUUUCGGUCUGGGAUGGACUCGCGGCCUAUCAGCUUGUUGGUGAGGUAAUGGCUCACCAAGGCGUCGACGGGUAGCCGGCCUGAGAGGGUGACCGGCCACACUGGGACUGAGACACGGCCCAGACUCCUACGGGAGGCAGCAGUGGGGAAUAUUGCACAAUGGGCGCAAGCCUGAUGCAGCAACGCCGCGUGCGGGAUGACGGCCUUCGGGUUGUAAACUGCUUUUAGUAGGGAAGAAGGGCUUCGGCUUGACGGUACCUGCAGAAAAAGGACCGGCUAACUACGUGCCAGCAGCCGCGGUAAUACGUAGGGUCCGAGCGUUGUCCGGAAUUAUUGGGCGUAAAGAGCUCGUAGGCGGUUUGUCGCGUCUGCUGUGAAAACUAGAGGCUCAACCUCUAGCCUGCAGUGGGUACGGGCAGACUUGAGUGGUGUAGGGGAGACUGGAAUUCCUGGUGUAGCGGUGGAAUGCGCAGAUAUCAGGAGGAACACCGAUGGCGAAGGCAGGUCUCUGGGCACUUACUGACGCUGAGGAGCGAAAGCGUGGGGAGCGAACAGGAUUAGAUACCCUGGUAGUCCACGCCGUAAACGUUGGGCGCUAGAUGUGGGGACCUUUCCACGGUUUCCGUGUCGUAGCUAACGCAUUAAGCGCCCCGCCUGGGGAGUACGGCCGCAAGGCUAAAACUCAAAGGAAUUGACGG